CGCUCCCAUCUCCAUCCCUGUGCCCCUUUCCGUUGCAGUUGGCUUGGAUGCGGCUGGCAAGACCACAAUCCUGUACAAACUGAAGUUGGGGGAGAUUGUCACCACCAUCCCAACCAUAGGCUUCAAUGUAGAAACAGUGGAAUAUAAGAACAUCUGUUUCACAGUCUGGGACGUGGGAGGCCAGGACAAGAUUCGGCCUCUGUGGCGGCACUACUUCCAGAACACUCAGGUGGAGUGUUGGGAGGGGACUUUCUAACCCCACGGGAAAAGGUGUUAGGGCUGGGAGAACAGAAUUGUUGGCCUAGGCUGGGCCCCCAGGCCAAGGAAAAAACCCUUCCCCACUUCUACCCCUUCUGUUUGGCUACCCCCUACUCACUCUUCAGAACUCACCUUAGUCUUCCCCAGCUUGGACUUCUCUUUAGAAGCAGGAUUCUGGGACCAGGCUGCCUGAUUUAGCCCUCAUAAC
Molecule: small RNA, 466 nt
Filed under: Pan troglodytes (chimpanzee)
Lineage: Eukaryota; Metazoa; Chordata; Mammalia; Primates; Hominidae
Description: retained intron
Source: RNAcentral